This 397-nucleotide ribosomal RNA is filed under the name uncultured bacterium. Its description in RNAcentral is "partial 16S ribosomal RNA". It matches the Rfam family "Bacterial small subunit ribosomal RNA", at positions 523 to 918 of the family's 1533-position model. The record is from RNAcentral.
AUACGUAGGUGGCAAGCGUUGUCCGGAAUUAUUGGGCGUAAAGCGCGCGCAGGCGGUCCUUUAAGUCUGAUGUGAAAGCCCACGGCUCAACCGUGGAGGGUCAUUGAAAACUGGGGGACUUGAGUGCAGAAGAGGAAAGUGGAAUUCCAAGUGUAGCGGUGAAAUGCGUAGAGAUUUGGAGGAACACCAGUGGCGAAGGCGACUUUCUGGUCUGUAACUGACGCUGAGGCGCGAAAGCGUGGGGAGCAAACAGGAUUAGAUACCCUGGUAGUCCACGCCGUAAACGAUGAGUGCUAAGUGUUAGGGGGUUUCCGCCCCUUAGUGCUGCAGCUAACGCAUUAAGCACUCCGCCUGGGGAGUACGGUCGCAAGACUGAAACUCAAAUGAAUUGACGGGG